AGAGUUUGAUCCUGGCUCAGAUUGAACGCUGGCGGCAGGCCUAACACAUGCAAGUCGAGCGGCAGCGGGAAAGUAGCUUGCUACUUUUGCCGGCGAGCGGCGGACGGGUGAGUAAUGCCUGGGGAUCUGCCCAGUCGAGGGGGAUAACUACUGGAAACGGUAGCUAAUACCGCAUACGCCCUACGGGGGAAAGCAGGGGACCUUCGGGCCUUGCGCGAUUGGAUGAACCCAGGUGGGAUUAGCUAGUUGGUGAGGUAAUGGCUCACCAAGGCGACGAUCCCUAGCUGGUCUGAGAGGAUGAUCAGCCACACUGGAACUGAGACACGGUCCAGACUCCUACGGGAGGCAGCAGUGGGGAAUAUUGCACAAUGGGGGAAACCCUGAUGCAGCCAUGCCGCGUGUGUGAAGAAGGCCUUCGGGUUGUAAAGCACUUUCAGCGAGGAGGAAAGGUUGGUAGCUAAUAACUGCCAGCUGUGACGUUACUCGCAGAAGAAGCACCGGCUAACUCCGUGCCAGCAGCCGCGGUAAUAC
This 531-nucleotide ribosomal RNA is filed under the name Aeromonas veronii bv. veronii. RNAcentral describes it as "bacterial SSU rRNA". It matches the Rfam family "Bacterial small subunit ribosomal RNA", at positions 8 to 526 of the family's 1533-position model. The record is from RNAcentral. Lineage: Bacteria; Pseudomonadati; Pseudomonadota; Gammaproteobacteria; Aeromonadales; Aeromonadaceae.